AACGCACCUUGCGCCCUUUGGCUAUUCCGAAGGGCAUGCCUGUUUGAGUAUCAUGAACACCUCAACUCUCAUGGUUCGCCAUGAUGAGCUUGGACUUUGGGGGUCUUGCUGGCGUAACUGCCAGCUCCUCUCAAAUGGAUCAGCUUCCCAGUGUUUGGUGGCGUCACAGGUGUGAUAACUAUCUACGCUUGUGGUCCUUCCAUCAGGUUACCUUCAGUAAUGGAGGUUCACUGGAGCUCACAGACGUCUCUCCUCAGGGAGGACAAGCUUCUUAACGUUUGAUCUCAAAUCAGGUAGGACUACCCGCUGAACUUAA
RNAcentral lists this unclassified non-coding RNA (316 nucleotides) under Tomentella sp. RNAcentral describes it as "partial contains 5.8S ribosomal RNA, internal transcribed spacer 2, and large subunit ribosomal RNA". The record is from RNAcentral. RNAcentral also lists the same sequence under 2 other names. Lineage: Eukaryota; Fungi; Basidiomycota; Agaricomycetes; Thelephorales; Thelephoraceae.